Molecule: non-coding RNA, 126 nt
Organism: Triticum urartu
Lineage: Eukaryota; Viridiplantae; Streptophyta; Magnoliopsida; Poales; Poaceae
Source: Rfam
CUCAUACUUCCUCCGUCCGAAAAAGCUUGUCCCUCAAAUGGAUGUAUCUAGCACGAAGUUAGUGCUAGAUACAUCCAUUUGAGGGACAAGCUUGGGACAAGCUUUUUCGGACGGAGGGAGAAGAAA